Molecule: ribosomal RNA, 287 nt
Filed under: Candidatus Woesearchaeota archaeon
Lineage: Archaea; Nanobdellati; Candidatus Woesearchaeota
Description: partial 16S ribosomal RNA
Rfam family: Archaeal small subunit ribosomal RNA
Source: RNAcentral
AUUCCCGUUGAUCCUGCGGGAGGUCGCUGCUAGUGGAGUUCCACUCAAGGCAUGCAAGUCACAGGCUCGCAAGAGUACUGGCACAAGGCUCAGUAACACGUCGAUAAUCUGCCUUACGGUCUGGGAUAUCCUCGGGAAACUGAGGUUAAACCCGGAUAAAAACUACGCACUGGAAGGUCGUUGUUUUCAAAAGUAAUGCCGUAAGAUGAGUCGGCGGCUGAUUAGGCUGUUGGCGAGGUAACGGCUCACCAAACCUAAGAUCAGUAGGGGGGAUGGAAGUCCUAGCC